UAUGGUCGUCUCCAAACAGCAUUAUUUUGCCUCCUAGAACUUUCCCGUUCAGCCCUCAUGAUGCUGCCAGCAACCUGGGAUGGUGAACGGAGAUGCAGGGACUUAGAGAAAAGCUCCACCCAAGACUACAGAACAAGAGCGGUAUCUUCAGGAUGAAAACUGUCAUUGGUAUUUGCGCCCAUAGAUCGACCAUCAAGAAAUCCUUGAAUCAAGUUGCUGUGCUUGCAUAUCUAGCACAAGCCCAUCUGGGAGAGGCUUUCCUAAGGCAGCGCGCUGGGAACAGCCGCCUUGCAGGCCUGGCCGCCCCCGGGAGCCUCCCGGGACACCAUCGAAGCAGCACGGGGAACACAAGGGUCAGGAAAAGGGAACCACCUGUGGUCCAUUUCAUCAGCCCUGGAAGGACCUGGAACCCCGCUCCUCAGUGCCCAGCCUCACUGAACGCCUCCCUACUUCCUUUAAUAAGAACAUAAGCUUUAGGAAGAGUCAAGUCCCCAGGACGACGCACUCGAAAUUUCUUGCAAAGUUGUGCGUGACAGGUAUUAGGAGGAGGACGAGAAGAAGGCACGCUCUGCGCUUUCUAUAGGCUUGUCUGGGAAUGUUCACAUCACCCUGCAGGGCGUGUGCCGUGAGGGCUCCAUUUCGCAGCUGCGGCUCAGCAGGUGUAACCGAGUUAUAAUCAUGACUCCUAAAAGCACAGGCCACUCCUUGGGGCAAACACAGACUCAUCAGAGGGAAAGCUUGUUUGGGCUAAGGCAGUUGCACUAUAGAACAUCGGUGCAGUGGUAGAUGCCUUAGAAAGAAAGAAAAAAAUGUGAUCCAGUUUCCCAUUUCCAAGAUAUUGACACUGUGUCCCAGACAAGAUGUGCCCUGCAAGUGCUCUGAGAACGAGGUGCCUGCAGUAGGCCCCUUCAGGAUGUUGCCCAAACUCUCUCCCAAGUGGGUGUAGCCAUGCCCAGCUGCUGGGAAUGCUGGUUGCUAACAGCUCCCAGCUGCAACCUGCUCAGAACGGCCCUCGAAUGAUGGGAGCCCAUGACAACCGUGGGCUGAGAGGGUAUGCCCACGCUGUGGCCCCCACAGUGGCAGCACAGGGCCAAUGAAUGAGAGUCAUUGGGCCCCAAAGCUCAGACCCCUUACUUCAUGAUGGGACAACUUUCCAGAGCGCCCCGGAGAUCCAGCUAAAACAAGUCUCCACUGGGGAAAACGCACUCCUUAGCUCAUUUUCUUUGCCCUGUCCUACUUCCCUUCAACCUUCUUUUCUAAGAAACACUCCUUCAGUAAGUAAGUGACUUGCACAAGAUUCACCCCUGUCAGAGGCUCCAUCACUCCUAGGGAACCUCUCCUAACACACUGUCUAAGGGAGGAGGGAGGAUGUCACAUGGGCGAAGGCCAUUGAGCGUGGACACUGAAAUCUCUGCCUUGCAACUCUUCUGCGGAGACUGUGUCACAGGUCCUCAAGAUAAGACCUGAGUGCUGCUGAAACUCAAUGGGGCUUUAAAGACAUCUGGUCAACCCCUUCAUUCUAGCAGUGGGGUGGCCCACACCCAGGGAGGGGAAGCAACUGACCCAGACCACACAGGAUUGGAACCAGAUCUCUUCCCCACAAAUGAUAGGUGAGAGUACAGCCAGACCAAAGACAUAUAUAUCCCCACUCCUACAACGGCAUGUGUAUCCCCAGCUCCAGUCCACAUGGCAGGACUCUCUGCAGUGGAGGGAGGCGGGGUUGGUACUCAGAGGUUUGGCAGGUCCUGAUGUGGCUACUCCCCUACUUAUAAACCACCGCUCCCAGAACGGGAGCCACACUCUUUGCCCUUAGGUACUUUCACAUGGCAAUGCCCUCGAGCCUUUGUGCUUGACCUCCCAUGCCCCCCAAGGCAGCCUGAGUCCCGUACCCCUCACUUACAAGCAUGCUCUACUCUUCCUGGUCCACACUAGGGUAUAUGUAGAAUCACCAGAGGAAAUACAAAUGCCCAGUUAAAUACACAUUUCACAUAAACAAUAAAUUCAUGUUGGCAAUAAGUAGGUCCCAAAUAUUGCAUAUCCCUCUGUUGUUCUCUAAUAUGGCAUAUUCUUUACUUCCUCUGCCUGAAACUCCCUCCCCUGCAAUCUUGAAGAACUCUGCAUCCCCCAAACCAACUCAAAUGGACCCUCUUCUAGAUGGCUCUCACUCACUCUGAAGGAGUCAUGCUCCCUUAGGGGCCGAGUGCCCUGCCCUGCUCAGCUAGAGGGCACUGUGACAGGAUCAUCACGUGUUACCAGGAUUGGCCUCAGUGCCGGGUCCCUAGGUACCACAGGGAGGGGAGGGACUGUGCUUCCACUCACACAUUUACUCAUGCUCACAGGCAUGGGUUCAUUCGUUCGUUCAUUCAUAAAUUCAUUCAAUAGAUAUGUACUUGGCACCUCGGGGUCCAGCACAUACAUGUGGUAUAGGAGUCACAUAUCAAUAAAGUCGACAUCUGCCAGCCAUAAUAUGAGGAAGGUGUUGGGCAAGUAAAUAAUUGAUUUUAAAUGCUUAUCAGUCCUACAGAAGGAGCGGGCUAGGUGCUCUGACAAAGAGGUGAAUGGUAGCUAGAGAGUGGUCAUGGAGGCCUUUUAGGGAGAUACCAUUGUUGACCUAAGGCAGUGCACCAAUUGUAGGAAGAGCAGAGGAAAGGGUUUCAGUAGGAAAGCACAGCCUGUGAGGAGGGCCAGAUGCCAGAAAAAACUUGUCAUGUUUGAAGUCAUUAGAGGAACUGAGUGGACAAGACAGACAAGAAGCCUAAGUAUGGAGCCAUACGUCGUGGCCAGGUCACACAGGACCUUACCAGCUGUGUUAAGGAGGUU
Myotis daubentonii (Daubenton's bat) is the source of this 2820-nucleotide long non-coding RNA. RefSeq lists it as uncharacterized. The record is from RefSeq and is a predicted model, not a curated record. Lineage: Eukaryota; Metazoa; Chordata; Mammalia; Chiroptera; Vespertilionidae.